RNAcentral lists this ribosomal RNA (563 nucleotides) under Megaporus natvigi. RNAcentral's name for it is "partial 16S ribosomal RNA". The stretch from base 322 to 480 matches the Rfam family "Bacterial large subunit ribosomal RNA", at positions 2473 to 2632 of the family's 2925-position model. Lineage: Eukaryota; Metazoa; Arthropoda; Insecta; Coleoptera; Dytiscidae. The record is from RNAcentral.
UUGACUGUGCAAAGGUAGCAUAAUCAUUAGUUUUUUAAUUAGAAGCUAGAAUGAAUGGUCGGACGAGAUAUAAUCUGUCUCUAGGUAAUAAAUAGAAUUUAAUUUUUAAGUUAAAAAGCUUAAAUAAUAAUAAAAGACGAGAAGACCCUAUAGAUUUUUAUAUUAUUGAUUGUAUUAUAGAUUAAGAUUAUUUUAUUUAUUAUAUUUAAUAUUAUUUUAUUGGGGUAAUAAGGAGAUUAAAUUAAUUCUCUUGUUUAUUUUACAAUAAUGUUUGAUUUAUUUGAUCCUUUUAUAGAGAUUAAAAGAUUAAGUUACCUUAGGGAUAACAGCGUAAUUUUUUUGAAGAGUUCAUAUCGAUAAAAAAGUUUGCGACCUCGAUGUUGGAUUAAAAAUUAUUCUAGGAGUAGAAGUUUAGAAAUUUGGUCUGUUCGACCAUUAAAUUUUUACAUGAUCUGAGUUCAGACCGGUGUAAGCCAGGUCGGUUUCUAUCUUUAUUUAGUGAAUAUAUUUUAGUACGAAAGGACCAGAUAUUUAAUAUAUUGAUAUUUAUUUUUUGAAUAAUA